AAAAAAAAAAAAAAAAAACAAAGUUUACGGCUUUCUGUCAGUAAAUCUAAUUUUUCUUUUUAAUGCACAAUGCUCAUCUUCUCAUUCUCAAUAAGAACUGGACAUAUUUUAAAAUUUCUCACUUUGGAUAUUGACAUAAAGCAUUACAAACAACAUUCUAAAAUUGAGAACAUUAUUCUAAAAUUGAGAACAUUUUUGCUGUACGCUGGGGAAACGUGUAAAUUACAAAAAAACAAAGUAAACACACAAAAUAAUAUUUACAUGGUUCACCCUCUCAAUAUACGGCUACAUUCACGGACAUGUAAUCUUCCACUAUAAAUAAUAAUAAAUUAUCAAUUACAAGCUCAAAGCUAUUUUACCCAUCGACCCAAUUAUACCCAAGAGAACUCAUACUACAUA
Molecule: unclassified non-coding RNA, 399 nt
Filed under: Hevea brasiliensis (rubber tree)
Lineage: Eukaryota; Viridiplantae; Streptophyta; Magnoliopsida; Malpighiales; Euphorbiaceae
Source: RNAcentral